UCGGAUCGAUUUAGCCAUGCUAGUUGCGCGAGUUCAGACUCGCAGCAGAUAGCUCAGUAACACGUGGUCAAGCUACCCUGCAGACACGGACAACCUCGGGAAACUGAGGCUAAUCCGCGAUACCGAUCCCACGCUGGAAUGCCGGGAUCCACAAACGCUCCGGCGCUGCAGGAUGCGGCUGCGGCCGAUUAGGUAGACGGUGGGGUAACGGCCCACCGUGCCGAUAAUCGGUACGGGUUGUGAGAGCAAGAGCCCGGAGACGGAAUCUGAGACAAGAUUCCGGGCCCUACGGGGCGCAGCAGGCGCGAAACCUUUACACUGCACGCAAGUGCGAUAAGGGGACUCCGAGUGCGAGGGCAUAUAGUCCUCGCUUUUGAGAACCGUAAGGUGGUUCUCGAAUAAGAGCUGGGCAAGACCGGUGCCAGCCGCCGCGGUAAUACCGGCAGCUCAAGUGAUGGCCAAUCUUAUUGGGCCUAAAGCGUCCGUAGCUGGCCGUGAAAGUUCGUCGGGAAAUCCAUCCGCUCAACGGAUGGGCGUCCGGCGAAAACUUCACGGCUUGGGACCGGAAGGCUCGAGGGGUACGUCCGGGGUAGGAGUGAAAUCCUGUAAUCCUGGACGGACCGCCGAUGGCGAAAGCACCUCGAGAAGACGGAUCCGACAGUGAGGGACGAAAGCUAGGGUCUCGAACCGGAUUAGAUACCCGGGUAGUCCUAGCCGUAAACGAUGUUCACUAGGUGUGGCACAGGCUACGAGCCUGUGCUGUGCCGUAGGGAAGCCGAGAAGUGAACCGCCUGGGAAGUACGUCCGCAAGGAUGAAACUUAAAGGAAUUGGCGGGGGAGCACUACAACCGGAGGAGCCUGCGGUUUAAUUGGACUCAACGCCGGACAUCUCACCAGCUCCGACUACAGUAAUGACGGUCAGGUUGAUGACCUUACCACGAGCUGUAGAGAGAGGUGCAUGGCCGCGUCAGCUCGUACCGUGAGGCGUCCUGUUAAGUCAGGCAACGAGCGAGACC
This 1016-nucleotide ribosomal RNA is filed under the name Halogeometricum sp. enrichment culture clone SVC_G10. Its description in RNAcentral is "bacterial SSU rRNA". It matches the Rfam family "Archaeal small subunit ribosomal RNA", at positions 33 to 1052 of the family's 1478-position model. The record is from RNAcentral. Lineage: Archaea; Methanobacteriati; Methanobacteriota; Halobacteria; Halobacteriales; Haloferacaceae.